Molecule: long non-coding RNA, 1159 nt
Organism: Ostrea edulis (European flat oyster)
Lineage: Eukaryota; Metazoa; Mollusca; Bivalvia; Ostreida; Ostreidae
Exons: 2
Source: RefSeq, a predicted model, not a curated record
UGGGAGCUUGUAUACUUCCUAUUUCAUGCACAAGCACUUGGUCCCAUGAAUCACUCAGUAUUUGCGUAACCUAAAACUCCAGAUCAGGUGCAGUCGCCAACAAACAAAAAAAUGAGUGCAAACAACUGAUAAAAUUCUCAAAUCUCAGUUGAUAAAAUUCUCAAAUCUCGCACGUUAAAUCAACACUUCCAAUUCUGUGUGCUUUCUAUGGAAAGCUAUAGGGGACCCCCAGGUCAUGUUCUAUAUAUUUCAUUGUAAAUAGUUUUCAUGAAAAUGAAUAGGAACGAGAAGAGAAGUUUUAUUCUUUGCUCUCACUAACUGAAACUUAUUGACUAAAGAAAUAAAUCUUAAAUUAUGGAAGGGUGUAAAUUUCCUGUGAUGUCAUUAACAAGCGUGUCCUGUGUGUGAAGUUCAGAGCGCCGGUGGAUUCGGUAGGCUGUGUUUUCAGGCUGACGUCAGGAGAAAAAUCGUCCAUCAUUUUGUGGAGGCAGGUGACAGACGUUAAUUAGUCAUGCAGAAACUACAGGCAACAAAAAAAAAACAAUUGUAAUAUUUAAACGAUUAUUUCACGCGUUCUUACUAUUUCCCUUAUUGGCAGCGAGGAAAGAUUAACAAUUAAAGAAGUGAUAAUGUUUCUUUGCAAAGUAACAGUCGCAAUCCUUUGUCUGCACCUGACCUCAUCGACUCCGGUCAAUACGUCCACGCCGGGAAUGGUACCGAACCCAGUAGUCGAUAACUCCAAGAAGCCUUCCGCACCGGAAGUAGUACCAGAUCCGGUAGUUGAGAACUCCAAAGCCCCCGUCCUGGUCACCGAUGUGUGGUGUAGUACAAAAUUCGGAGAGUUUGUGAAAAUGUGCGAAGAUGUCCACAGCGACUGCUGUCAUCAGCUGGAGCCUUACCGAUUUGCUCCGACCGGAAGUUUAUGCCCGGGGAAGGAGGACACGGAGUGUGAAACCGGUUUGUUCACAGAGAGCUGUUGUAAAGACGGCAGAGAAAUGAAAUCCGAAUUAUUUGAGCAGAUUUAAAUUCUAGAGUAGGAGUGUGCGUUAUAAUGCAUUACGAUAUUAACUUGGCAUAUCCUAAAAGUAAUGCACGGUUAUGAAUUGUAUUUAUUUAUGUUCAGAAUGUUGUGCUAGUGGUAUAAAAAUUUAUAUGUUCA